AGUUAAUUACUUAAGAAAGUAUUAUGUUUUGAAAACAUAAUUAAGGAGUUCAAACCUCCUAUUAACUU
Molecule: transfer RNA, 68 nt
Filed under: Symploce pallens
Lineage: Eukaryota; Metazoa; Arthropoda; Insecta; Blattodea; Blattellidae
Description: tRNA-Ser
Rfam family: tRNA
About the family: Transfer RNA (tRNA) molecules are approximately 80 nucleotides in length. Their secondary structure includes four short double-helical elements and three loops (D, anti-codon, and T loops).
Source: RNAcentral